Molecule: long non-coding RNA, 2583 nt
Organism: Cavia porcellus (domestic guinea pig)
Lineage: Eukaryota; Metazoa; Chordata; Mammalia; Rodentia; Caviidae
Exons: 5
Source: RefSeq, a predicted model, not a curated record
UACUAUGCACUCCUUUAGAGUUUAUCUAACUGGCUUUUUUCUUCAUAGCUCUAGUUACUUACCAUCUUAUGGCACAGGGAGUGAUGCUAGAGCUGUGCCUUGUUGUCUUCUGUGAGACCACCCUCGGGUGACACUGUCCUUUCAGCUGCUGAUGCUUCGCAUUCCAGGCUUAAAGGAAGGACACUUGUGUGGAUUAAAAGUAAACCAGUGACUCUCACAGCUGAAAUUCUUGGAAGCUACAAGGUACUGAAAAUUGUGGAGCUACAAGGCCUCCAGAGCAGAAUGAAGCCACUGAUCUCCAUACCAGAUACCAAGCCCAGUGCCAUGUUUAUGGGUGUCAUGUGACGAGUAUGUAUUAGACUGAGGUCACCUAUAAAGAGACUACAGUGACUUGUCAACAUUUACCAGGUGACCUGGCAUGCGAUGAAGAACCUACCAUCAUUGCUUUCUGGAGCAUCUUACUCUUAGGGAGCAAGUGCAAAUAGGCUGCCAGGAGCCAGAGGACAUCAGUGACCCAUCAGCAAGACUCUUAUCCUUGGUAAGAAAGAGCACUGAGCUCAGUACCCAGACAGGAAUUCUCCCUGUUCCGCUGUGAGGUGUGUGGAAGUUCUACUUCUGGAAUACAGUGUCUGCACAGCCCUCUGCCCUGAAACUCAAUGGUUCUCUGACAUAGCCUAUCUUUGGAAGAGGCGGCAUUGUUUAUUUAAGUCAUGUAUGGUUCAAACCAGAGGGAAGACAUUCUGUGGUUGAUUCCAGUGAUGGUGGCAAAACUCCGAGUGGACUCACAGCCAUGGAGUUGUAGAUUUUAAAUUGGUGAAUGGUGUGGUGAAUGACCUAUCAAUAAAGCUGCUGAAAACAAUAAAUGCAUAUACAAAAUUAGAAAAACUCACAUACUGUGCUUCAUUGGAGCAUUGUUUCUCAGAAAAACAGGAGCCGAGGAUUGAUACUAGGAUUGAUACUAAAGGAUAAAGUAAAAUUGGACUGAGUACUGUGAAUAUUCUUCUGAGCUGCAGCAUGAUGUAAGAAGAAUUAUCUUGUGGAGAAACUGCGUGAUGUGCUCUUCUGAACAGAGCUUCUCUCCAGCAAGCUUGUCUCCCCUUGCCGACUUUAGUGCAGGUUCACAGGACAGAAAUUGUUUCUGCUUCUUUAGAAGGUUUCUGCCAAUCCUUUGGACUCCACACCCUGAAAGACCUUUCCUGUUGCCAGUUUCCUUCCCAUUUUACAGAUGCAUAAACUGAGUGGGGAAAUGAUAAGUUAUUUACUCCUGCCUGAUCAUCCAGGUACUGAUGGAAUGAAUUUAGAGUCUAGAUGCCCACGUCCUUACUAAAUGGCAUGAUGAUUAAAAAACAACACUUUAAUUUGAAAUAUUUUAACACAACCAUGUCUUAUGUAGACAUGGAACUUGCAACUUAUCCUAUGUUUUUGGGUUCAAAUCUCACUGUAUGAGUCCAAUGCAUACAUAUUUUGCUCUUGCACUUUUUGUUUGCCAGGCUUCUUUGCCCUAAUUCAGGAUUUUAAAAUAGAUCAUCACUGCUAGAUAAUAAGAUUGCUAGGGUCAAUAUGUAAAUGAAGGAUACCAUAUUUUCCUUUUAAAAAUACAUGCACAGAUACAAAAUGAAGAAACAGACAUGCAGAGUAAUUAAUUUUUCUUAAAACAUCUGAAUCUUUCCUGUAUCUUUAGACCCCAGUCUGUUGAAAGUCUUUGAGGUAAUUUUUGUCAAAGUGAAAUCAGGUUUGGAAAUCUCUGGCUCCUUUUGCUAAAUGAGGUCUUGUUAAGUGAGCUCAGGUGUCUGUUUGCCUAGUAUCGAUGCCAUGUGUGAGCUUGCUGUCCCGUGUCACACUGCCCCUCAGGACCUCCCUCCCAUUCACCCAGGUAGCAGCCAUAUGUAGUGAAGCAAAUUUUGCAAAUAAUGAUAAUAUUGUGUAGGUGUUGAACUACGUAUCACUCAAAAGGCAUUGUGCACACAUUUCAUUUUUUGGACAGGAAGUUUCUAUUUAGUCUAUGGUUUUGGGUAUGAUUGGGAGCUGGUUUCUUAUUCAGAAGCUGACAAUGGCAUAUUUACCACCUUGCUUAUUUUCUUGGGGUUUUUGGCUAUUCCAUCUAGGCACCUGCUUUAGCAGGUGCACCUCAUCAGCAUCCGGAUGAUGCAAGGACUGAGCUGCUCAAUCAGUGCUGACUGAGAAACCCCAGUCACUUUCCUUUGAGAAAUACCUUCAGAGUAGUUGCCUAAACCCUCAAUUUGACUAUUAUCUUCUUUUGAAGUUCAGUAAUGUCUCCAAUGUUUAGGUUUUAUUGGUUUUGUUCUGUACUGUUAUGUUCAAUUUUAUUAUUCCUGAUGAUAUAGGCAAUUCUUUUUAAGGUAGCAAGGGGUAUUAUGGUAACCAUCAUUGAUUACCUGGUAUUCUGUUUUUACAUCAUGUACUAUGUCCAUCCUUUAUUUUGACUGACUCUGCUUUGUUUUGUCACAUUUGGUCUUAUUCUCUUCCAAAAAAUGUAGUAAGAACUGUGGUAGUAAUAAAACCCAAAAUGUUUAAAUGUUAUUGUAAAAAAGAGAGGAAAAUAAAGUGCUCUAAAGGACACAA